Long non-coding RNA from Dermacentor albipictus, 3074 nucleotides. RefSeq lists it as uncharacterized. Lineage: Eukaryota; Metazoa; Arthropoda; Arachnida; Ixodida; Ixodidae. The record is from RefSeq and is a predicted model, not a curated record.
CGUCCUUACCCUUCCCUGUCAAAAUGUACUGCCGCUAUGUAGAUGACACCUUUGUGAUUGUCGAAAAGAAAAACCUGCGUGCCAUGCAUGAGGCGCUAAAUGCCGUCCAUCAUGCCAUUCAAUUUACAUGUGAGACGGAGAAUAGUGGCAGCCUAGCCUUUCUAGACGUGCUGGUACAACGGAGCGAAGGAGGUUCGGUGGAGACAGCCGUAUAUCGCAAAUCUUGCGAUAGCGGGAGUGUGCUGAGUUUUGACUCUCACCACCCUAUAGAACACAAACAUGCCGUGGUACGCACUCUCCUGUCUCGUUGCGAUGCGCUCUCGUCAACGCAAACUUUGAGGGAGCAAGAAUUAACGAAUGUGGCCACUCUAUUGCAUAAGCGGAGUUACCCUGAGCACUUUGUCAAUGAUACGCAGCGCCGCAUGCAAAAACCUCGUGAGAGCAAGGCCGAAAGGCCAGCUUCCUUUGUGUGCAUUCCGUAUGUCCGCGGUGUAUCAGAAGCAGUGCGCAGGGCUUUACGGCCUUUAGGUGUUCGAACUGUGUUUAAACCCUCGUACACGUUGGCAAACGUGUUCCCGAAGCCAAAGGACCGCACACCUCCGGACGAACAAAGUGGUGUCGUCUACAAGGUCAACUGCUCGGACUGUGAUGCCAGCUACAUUGGCGAGACAGGGCGGCGACGUCGCACCCGUAUCAAGGAACAUCUAAGAGAUGCUACGAAAGCCACCCAUGCUACACGUGCCAAGACAGAAUUGGUUGAUCAUUGUUUAUCAAAGGGACACAUGUUUGAUUUUAACAAUGUAACCACACUAGCACGGGAACACCGAUGGGGCCCAAGAAAGUUCGUAGAAUCAUGGUUCAUCCGUCGUAAUCAAUCUUCAUGUAACUCUAACCGUGGCCCCCUGCCGGAUGUUUACGGCACUUUCAUAGAUAAAUAGGAUGUAUUUCUCAUUUGUUGCCAUUGUGUACUGACGAUGCCACCCGCAUAGGUGGCGAAACGUCUAUGUUUUUGUUAUACUUUGUUGAGUAAAGCCAGUGUAAACAACACUUUGAAGCAUGAGUUCCCCUGGCUUUUGGAACAUUUUCUCACGUAUCCGAUACAGUUACGGAUGUACCCUUCUUGGCCCUUUGAGGAAAUACAUCGACCACUCUACGAAGAUUGUCCGCCAGGAAUGCCACUUGCGUUUCAACUACAAGUGCCUGAACAGCAACGUUGUUCCCAAAAGCCUGCACUGCCGGACACUGGUCAACACGCCCUACGGACGCAAGCUUGCGAGAGACUUCAGCCGGAAUUGCUUAAAGGCCCGUAUCCAGGAAAACAAGCAGCAAAUUAACCAGGCAAGACGUAAAAUCUGCAACUUUGAGGCUUGUCUUCGCGCAAAACUGCACGUUGCUGACUUCAGUGAGGUCCUGGUAGCAAGAGCGAAGGCAGAACUCCUCGAAAGGGAAAAGUACACGCAUGCCCACAACAAGAAAUUGACUACCCUGAUCCCCAGUCUACCGCAAGGAAAGUUUGAGGCCACAAGUGUUCACAACCUUUCUGAAAAACGGCUGUCGCAAGACCAAGCCGCCAAUUCCUUAAAUGCUGUGAGGAGUCGGUCAAGCUUAUCAGGGCAUGGGUGUGUUUCAAUGUCUCCCGAACAGAGCAGCAAGUGAUCAAUGAAGAACAACACCAGCGCUAAUCGGCCUGUCAUGUAGAGCUUAUGUGCCGGUUUUCCUACACGAAGCCAUACCACACAACGCAUCUCGACUACAUUGCCACAAGGAAGAAAACAGCCAAUUCAAACACGGUCGUCUUAGGAGGUAAACCGGAAGUGCUGCCCAAGAAACAAGAGUGUCACUCGAUGCUCGUGCCACUAAUAACCGCUUCACGAAAGAUUGCUGCACAGAGAGUCCGACAUAUGCUUUGCAUUUGCAUAGAUUUCUUUUUUAGAAAGGCAGAAUUUGUCUCCUAAAGGAAAUAUAGCAGAGGCAGAAUUGUGCAACCACUUUAUUACAAUUCUUUUCUUUCUCCGGUUCCGUCACGUGGUCCGCCUAGAGCCAGGUUAGGCCAGUCGUGACCAGCAGAUAAUAAGGAGUAUACUAGAAAGAAGAGAAGCCUUACAUCAUACGGGCCUAGGUUUCGCUGUCUGGGCAGUUGGCCCAAAAAAUACAGUUUGUAAUUGAUAAAAUCCUAAAAAUCAAGAAAUCUCUCCAGGCACAUUCAACUGUACCUGUCUGAACAGGCCCUCAUAACAGUUACAUGACACCUGUCAUGACAGUUACAGUGUAUGGUUUGGCUCAAUGUAGCUAAAGUACCAGUUAAAAGUGAAAUAUGCAGCUUGCGUAAAUAUGUAAUGAAACCUGCCUGUAGGUAAACACAUCUUGAUCAAGUGUGCUAACAUUUUUGUGUAUAUUGUUACGGUGAAGUGAAGGAAGACGUUGAGUUGGACUAGAGAAAGACGAAGUCUGGCGGUUGCCUGAACGCCGAUAUAGGACCGUGUAAUCACUUUUUUUCUUUUUUGCCUGACUUUACAGCCAAUGUACUUGGUACAAUGAAAUUAGUGCCGUUCUCCUGCAUAUGUUCUUCUAAAGUUGCGUUCUGCAAGCCCUUAAUAUUACAUUUUACUUGUUGGUUUGUGUGUAUCUUAUACUGCUUCCUUACUUGGUGCUAUUGUUUAGUAAUGCAGAACUACUGUCUUUUUACUAGAAUGUGAAUCAUGCGUCAUGUUUCUGCGUCCCAUAUUUGUGCCACAUGCUUGAUGGUGUCAUUGUCAACGAACAUCGUGGGCCUCGGGAGCUUGUCAAGCUACGGCUUCUUUUACCGAGGUCUACUGCUCUUCGAAGCAAGAAAUAAAAUGAAAUGAAAUGAAAUGAAAUGAUGCUCUGCGGAUAGCUUACUAGUUUUCGUUACUUUCAACGAUUUUCGAAACCUACAAAUUAUGUACCUGAGGACUGCUAAGAGAAAAAGGCACACGGAUAGACGAAAAUGGACGGACGGACUACAUCUGUCCGUGUCCUUUUAUUGCAUAAGUAGUCCUCAAGUUCCACCUUUUCAGAGCCAGAAAGUCGUUUCAACUGAGAGCUCAGUUCCU